CCCAGAUGUUGGUAACCUUCAUUUCCUCUUCAUUAUCCUGGUAGAUGGUCGCAGAGUUUAGUCCAGAAUAUCUUGGAUCCAAUUCAAGUUAUCCAGGCUUGCAACAGCUGGAACCCCCCGCAAUAGGGACCACCAUUUGAAACAAACCAGGCAGUCCUCACUCCACCAAGUGAACGCCGUCCAUACACGGUAUUUGGAUCAUCACUGCCUGCGUCUACUCACCACAGCUGCUUGCCACAAAACUCUCCACACCAUCGAAGGAACCCUUAGACUUUACCGCACAGACGCACCGGGCCAGCCGCCGAGCAGAGCCAGUCCGUGCCACGGAGCCCAGCACAUCAGGGGCUACCAUCUCAGGGAUACGGAGCGCAUAAAUUUCUAAUACAUCGGAAAAGGCAUAAAGUUAUGCUGGACACCUUAAAGAAUCACCCGUGUGAAUACAGAAGACACAUCUGCUCCCAACUGGAUCGAUGAUUUUCCGGAUUUUCCAUUUUGCUUUGUAAAAUAUUGAUAAUGCAAUAAGUCAUGUGAUCCUUUUGUUAUGUAUUUUAAUGUGUGUGUAACGUUGUUUAGUCAGUCUAUGAUUAAGCACGCAAGUGCGAAACGCAUCAGACAAUUUGCUCUGUCGUGACGACUGUCUGAGGAUUAUUAAAUAAAGCAUAUC
Molecule: long non-coding RNA, 664 nt
Organism: Hyla sarda
Lineage: Eukaryota; Metazoa; Chordata; Amphibia; Anura; Hylidae
Exons: 3
Source: RefSeq, a predicted model, not a curated record